GAUGAAGAACGUAGCUAAAUGCGAUAAGUAGUGUGAAUUGCAGAAUUCAGUGAAUCAUCGAAUCUUUGAACGCACAUUGCGCCCCUUGGUAUUCCAUGGGGCAUGCCUGUUCGAGCGUCAUUUGUACCUUCAAGCUUUGCUUGGUGUUGGGUGUUUGUCUCGCCUUUGCGUGUAGACUCGCCUUAAAAUAAUUGGCAGCCGGCGUAUUGAUUUCGGAGCGCAGUACAUCUCGCGCUUUGCACUCAUAACGACAGCGUCCAAAAGUACAUUUUACACUCUUGACCUCGGAUCAGGUAGGGAUACCCGCUGAACUUAAGCAUAUCAAUAAGCGGAGGA
RNAcentral lists this unclassified non-coding RNA (336 nucleotides) under soil metagenome. Its description in RNAcentral is "partial contains 5.8S ribosomal RNA, internal transcribed spacer 2, and large subunit ribosomal RNA". The stretch from base 1 to 120 matches the Rfam family "5.8S ribosomal RNA", at positions 35 to 154 of the family's 154-position model. The record is from RNAcentral.